CAAAAGGAAAAGAAGAGAACAGAAAAGAAAACGAAUGCAUGGAAUGCCGUCACACAGACAGACAGACAGACACACCACUCGACGUUUAUUUUUGCGUCCACUUCAUUUUCAUCCUGGACAGAAUCUUUCGUCUUUUCUUUCUGUUUCUUUU
Molecule: non-coding RNA, 151 nt
Filed under: Chromera velia
Lineage: Eukaryota; Chromeraceae
Source: RNAcentral